Aegilops tauschii subsp. strangulata is the source of this 624-nucleotide long non-coding RNA. RefSeq lists it as uncharacterized. The record is from RefSeq and is a predicted model, not a curated record. Lineage: Eukaryota; Viridiplantae; Streptophyta; Magnoliopsida; Poales; Poaceae.
UCCGUUCGAUCUCCUGCCCCCACACGCCACCGUCUGCAAAUCCCGCAUCGGCCUCGCCUGAUUCACCCUGAUCGUUCAAUGAUUCGUCCUACCUCACAACCCAUCGCGACCCCCUCGGUUCCCCUCGUCCGAUUCCCUCAGUAUCCAGACGAUUUGGCCCUCGGAAUCGAGCGCACGAAGCUCGCCGGAUCUCCCCAGUCGACGUCGCUUUACCGCUCGAUUCCACCACGUACGGGCACCAGCAGGAGCUCGCCAACUCGCACUCGAAGGAUGCCGGCGCCGCCCAACUUCGUCGGUGCCCAGCCGCCGCAAGACACCUCCCAAGGGCAUCCCAACGAGGCCAUCGACAUCGCCGUGAAGCUCUGCGCACCGUUCGCUCCUUCAUGACGUCCUAAGAGGACCACAUCGACGCUACGGGCCACUUUUCGAUGCCCCGCCGCCGCGCCAUGGUCGCUGGAGUUCCUUCCGGUGAGGAAUUCCCCUUUGUUUGCAACCCUAGCCCCAAUAAUACAGUGGCCGUCUGGUCUAACUUCAUCCAACGGCAGGCAACAACAGAUUGCUCGGAGCGUGACGAGUAGCAUUGUCAGGAAUUGUGAGUGCGACAAUCUUCACCAAAAGUACCAG